RNAcentral lists this long non-coding RNA (2833 nucleotides) under Homo sapiens (human). Its description in RNAcentral is "HSALNT0320826". Lineage: Eukaryota; Metazoa; Chordata; Mammalia; Primates; Hominidae. The record is from RNAcentral.
AAAGGCAACAGGUCGUUGGCUGGGGUAAAGGCCGAUGGGCUGGACUGAGAAAGUGUCCCCGGGCGGGCAGCGGCCACCUUAACUCCUGGACGGAAUGGCUUUCGAGGAAACGCUGCAGUUCCACUAGGAGGCACCCUGACACACGCAUUUCCAGAGGGAGGGAUAACGGAAGCCAAAGUUUGUUAAGCGUUGUGCGCCGCGGCCGGGCGCGGUGAUUCACGCCUGUAAUCCCAGCACUUUGGGGGGCCGAGGCGGGCGGAUCACGACGUCAGGAGAUCGAGACCAUUCUGGCUAACACGGUGAAACCCCGUCUCUACUAAAAAUACAAAAACAAAAUUAGCUGGGCGUGGUGGCGGGCGCCUGUAGUCCCAGCUACUCGGGAGGCUGAGGUGGGAGAAUGGCGGGAACCCGGGAGGCGGAGUUUGCAGUGAGCCGAGAUUGCGCCACUGCACUCCAGCCUGGGCGACAGAGCGAGACUAUGUAUCAAAAAAAAAAAUGCGUUGUGCGCCGGGCUGAAACCGGCAUAAAACUGGGCAGAGCUAUGCAGGCAGCUACCCUCCCCCCCACCCCUACCCCCACCCCCACCCCCCUCGUGCCCGCUCCGCUACGUAUUCCCGUAUUCCCGGGUGCCUGGCAACAGUGAUGUGCUUUAGGCCUUUUUUAGAAUGCAUACAAACGGAACCAUAUCUAAGUGAUGUCUGGCUUUUUUAACUUAGCACAAUGCUUUGAGAUUCAUACUAUUGUGUUUAAUUAGUAAUUCAUUUGUGUUAUUGUUGAAUGGUAGUCUAUCAUAUGGGUAAGCCACAGUUUAUUUAUCCAUUCACCAAUUGAUGGGCCUGUCGGUUGUAGGGAACAGGAGAAAACUUCCCCUUUGCCCUCUGAAGGGUCACCGAAAAUCAACUGACAAGGCUGGGCCUGGGCUCCUGCCUGUAACCCCAGCCCUUUUUUAGCCCAAGGCAGGAGGAUCUCUUCUUUGUGAAGUGUGUAUUCAAAUCUUUUGACCAUUUAUUUAUUAGCUAGCUUGACUUUUUAUCUAAGAGUUCUUUAUAUAUUAUUGAGUUCUUUAUAUGUUUCAUACCAUGUUCUUUAUUAGCUAUACGUUUUGAAAUGUUUUCUACCUGUCUGUGGCUUGCCUCUUCAUUUUAAGUGUCUUUUGAAGCACUGAAGUUUUCAAUUUUGAUGUAAUUUAUCCAUUUUUUUCUUUUACAUAGUUCAUACCUUUUUUGUCCUACUUAAGACAUUUUUGCUAAAUUCAAGAUUAUAAGAUUUCCUCAUUUGUUACCUUCUGGAAGUUUUAUAAUUGUUGGUCUUCAUUAUAUUUAAAAUGAAUUAUUCUUUAUAGUAUCGAUAGAUGCUGGAGGCAGAUAAGGGAGGGUCCCUGGAGAAUCUCUGACCUGCCUCACAAGCUUUUGUGCAGCUGAGGAAGCCUGCCCAGGGUCUUGUCUGGGCAUGCCCACAAGGGACUUGGGGGCCCACUGCACCAGGAGAGUGGGGUGCAGCCAGAGGGAAUUCAGCCUUAUGCAGCAGGGAUGAGCAAGAAGUCUUCAGCUUGUGUGUGUUGGCCUGUUAUUCAGUCUGUGAGCUGGGAGCCUGUUGGCAGGACCCUCCUUGUUUUUUUGCUAAGAGCUUUUAAUAAAUGCCACUCUUCACCUUGCAAUGUAUUCACAUGCCUAAUUGUUCCUGGUCAUGAGACAAGAACCUGGAUUUUAGCUGAGCUAAGGAGCAAAAAUUCCUGCAUCAGUAUUAGGUGUAAGGAAGAACAGAAGGAUCCAAGUGUGAGAAAGCCCACCCUGAGUCUCUCAGAGGUGAUUAUGACUGUGUGAGCAUGGAUUCAUUUCACUACCAGGUCAAAGACACAAUCAAAAGCCCGACAAAUGGAAUUUGUGGAAUUGGAACAAAAAGGCACAAGAACAUCAAAGCAUAAAUCCUUCAGGUAUCAGCAAUGACAUCACUUAAGAAUUUCUCAGAAUCUUUGGCACCACCCCAGGCCUACCGGAUCAGAAUCUGAAUUUUUUAACAAGAUCUCAGAUCUAGUCAAGAGUCCAGUCUGAUUUCUCUUUAUUGGGACUACCACCCAAAGCAGAAUGAGGAUGAUGUAACCACGCCCAGUGACUUCUGGAUACCACUGACUCUAGAUCCUGAAUUCCAGCAGAAUGGCUGACACCAACUGGUCUGAAGACCCUCACCAAGGAACUGACUCAGUGCAGGAAUGCAGUUUCUUCAUCUCCCUAUCCCUGACUUCACCCCUCACUUCUCAACCAAUCAGUGAUCACCACACUUUAGGCCAUCACCUGUGUCCAGACCCCUUAAAAACCCCAUCUGCAAACCUCUUGAAGAGGCAUAUUUGAGGUUUCCUCUCAUCUCCUCAUUUGGUUUCCCUACAAUUAUUAAAUUCUUUCUCUGCUGCAACUCCUACUUUUUCAGUGUAUUGGUCUGUUACUGUGCAACAGGAAAUCAGACCUGGUGGUCCUAUAGUAAGAGUUCACAGAAUAUGAUAUACAAAGUGAUCUGUGAUAUACAAAAACCGGCACAAUCUCACUCUUAAUAAGAAAAAUUCAACUUAAAAUUAAAAGUUUUUUUUCCUCAGAAUGGCAAAGAUCAAAGUUUGAUAACAUGGUUGGAAAGUAUGCAGACCGAUAUUCUCAUAUUCAUUGAUGAAGUGUAAAUUGAUACAUCCUUUGUCAGUACGGACAGGUUUCCCAACUCUAGGGGUGAAAUUUAUACAGACUACAGUGUGAAUGACAACCACUUCAAAUUGGGUGAUAUGAUGACCUUGACUCUGUGGAGGGUCAUUUGGCAAAAUAUCUCAAAAUAAAAAUGUACAUACAAUUUG